GACGAACGCUGGCGGCGUGCCUAAUACAUGCAAGUUGAGCGCUGAAGGUUGGUACUUGUACCAACUGGAUGAGCAGCGAACGGGUGAGUAACGCGUGGGGAAUCUGCCUUUGAGCGGGGGACAACAUUUGGAAACGAAUGCUAAUACCGCAUAAAAACUUUAAACACAAGUUUUAAGUUUGAAAGAUGCACUUGCAUCACUCAAAGAUGAUCCCGCGUUGUAUUAGCUAGUUGGUGAGGUAAAGGCUCACCAAGGCGAUGAUACAUAGCCGACCUGAGAGGGUGAUAGGCGGCAUUGGGACGGAGACACGGCCCAAACUCCUACGGGAGGCAGCAGUAGGGAAUCUUCGGCAAUGGACGAAAGGCUGACCGAGCAACGCCGCGUGAGUGAAGAAGGUGUUCGGGUCGUAAAACUCUGUUGGUAGAGAAGAACGGUGGUGAGAGUGGAAAGCGCAUCAAGUGACGGUAACUACCCAGAAAGGGACGGCUAACUACGUG
Molecule: ribosomal RNA, 497 nt
Filed under: uncultured bacterium
Lineage: Bacteria
Description: partial 16S ribosomal RNA
Rfam family: Bacterial small subunit ribosomal RNA
Source: RNAcentral